This is a long non-coding RNA of Neofelis nebulosa (Clouded leopard), 1345 nucleotides long. RefSeq lists it as uncharacterized. The record is from RefSeq and is a predicted model, not a curated record. The transcript is spliced from 2 exons. NCBI's taxonomy places the organism in Eukaryota, Metazoa, Chordata, Mammalia, Carnivora, Felidae.
UGCCCUUUCAUGGGGGGUGGAAACAGCACCCAGAGGAAGCCACUCCAUUCACUUCCUGACCAACUGAAAGGCAAGAGAAAAACUAAGUGACCAAACGUGCCAGGCCUUGUCUCACUCUCUUCUCAGAUUGGGAACUUGAGAAAGAGGAGAUUAUAUCGAAUCAGAUGAGGCAAAAACGUUAUUUCCUGGAAGCAGAAACUUGACCGAUGGUCACAAGACCAAGGAAGACAGGAACCAACCGGGAAGAAGUCUGGCAGCUGCGAAGAAUGGACCGAGAGGGAACAAAAGUAACCUCUGCGACCACACAGGCGAGACCUCCCCACCACGGUAACGCCAGCGCCUCCACCCUUGGCACAUAGGAAAUAAAAGCCUGGGUCGCCGGGCGGCGCCUGCGCAGAAACGGUGAGGGCCUCCCCUGUACCUCCCCACUUCCCAACUUCCAAUCACCUCCAUCCACCUUCCAGCUCCCCGCCCCCCUCGUUAAAUCCCAUAAAUACUCUGCUUCCCCUUAUCCUCCGGGAGGCAGAACCGGUGUCAGUGUUCGGCUUCCAGUGCAUCGAAAACCGGCCCCUCACGCUGUGACAUUUGGAAAUAAGUCAUGGAAGAAAAGGCGAACUACAAAUCGGGCCGAGCUUCCAAGGGCAAACAAGCCCGGUUUUCAGUCCUGCCCUGCCACCAGCUCCUUUCUCAAGGUGCACGUGAGUGUUUGACGAGAAAAGACGUGGAGAAAGCAGAUGAUGUCGUACAAAAAGCAGAAGUGGUUUUUCUGUCCACAGGGUCUUGGCCAUGUGGUCUACCAGUAGUCUGUUGUUUAAAUUAGUAACCUCCUAACAAGUAACUCCACCCUUGAAACUGCUCUGUCCACAGCACAUGUCUCAUACAGUAGGAGGGGGACGGAAGGGGUUAUUUAUUGAGAACGUGCUACGUGUUUUACACAUGCUGUUUCAUUUAAUCUUCUAGCAGCUCUGUAAGGCACUUAACGUUUUUUCCCCUCUUCUACAGAUGAGCAAAUAGAGGCUAAAACUGGUUACAUAAUGGUCUGAGUUCAAAGCCCUGCUCUUUCUAGAAUGUCAUGACUUUUCAAACGUGCUCCAGCAGGACAAGAAAGGCCUAAGCUUGCUGGGAUGUUUCGCUGAAAAAAAAAACAAAAAACAAAACAAAAAAAAACCCCAAUAAUAAUAAUUUAUAAUGAUAGCCUUUUUCCAAUUUGCAUAGAAAGCUAAUUGAGAGAAUUUUCUUAAUUCCGUGUUUUUCUCCUACUAAUUUCCCAAGUUUGGGUGCCUGCUUAUACCCCCUUAUCUGAGAAUGGCAUCAGCAAUCCUAAAAGGAAUAAAAAAUUAGAAAA